AGGUAUUUGGUCUAGUGGUAUGAUUCUCUUAGGGUACUAACUUAAAUCCCGAGUUCAAUUCUCGGAAUACCCC
Molecule: transfer RNA, 73 nt
Filed under: Zingiber officinale
Lineage: Eukaryota; Viridiplantae; Streptophyta; Magnoliopsida; Zingiberales; Zingiberaceae
Description: tRNA-Ser
Source: RNAcentral